Molecule: long non-coding RNA, 303 nt
Organism: Epinephelus fuscoguttatus (brown-marbled grouper)
Lineage: Eukaryota; Metazoa; Chordata; Actinopteri; Perciformes; Serranidae
Exons: 3
Source: RefSeq, a predicted model, not a curated record
AUUUCCAGUGUAGUGAUGCUGUUUGCAAAGCUGACCUUACAGGUGACAUUGGUGCCGUGGUGUUUAGCUGAGGGGUUAAAGGUCAAAGUUGAGCUGUGUCUCUGAGUGACAGCAGUCAGAUCCUCAGUCUUGAAAGCAGUGAUGUUUCCUGUGGUGUGAGAGUCCGCCUCUCCUGCUCCUCUCCACAUCCAGGUGAUUUCAGGGUCAGAUCCAGAGCAGAGACCAGGAGCAGUGCAGGUCAGUGUGGUCUGCUGUCCCUCUGUCAGAGGAGGAAUCAUCACUGUGGGCCUCUGGGUCAGACCU